RNAcentral lists this ribosomal RNA (397 nucleotides) under uncultured bacterium. RNAcentral's name for it is "partial 16S ribosomal RNA". It matches the Rfam family "Bacterial small subunit ribosomal RNA", at positions 523 to 918 of the family's 1533-position model. The record is from RNAcentral.
AUACGUAGGUGACAAGCGUUAUCCGGAUUUACUGGGCGUAAAGGGCGUGUAGGCGGUCUUGCAAGUCAGAAGUGAAAUUCCUGAGCUCAACUCGGGCGCUGCUUCUGAAACUGCAGGACUUGAGUGCUGGAGGGGAUAGCGGAAUUCCUAGUGGAGCGGUAAAAUGCGCAGAUAUUAGGAAGAACACCGGUGGCGAAGGCGGCUAUCUGGACAGUAACUGACGUUGAGGCGCGAAAGCGUGGGGAGCAAACAGGAUGAGAUACCCUGGUAGUCCACGCCGUAAACGAUGAAUGCUAGGUGUAGGGGGUAUCGACUCCCUCUGUGCCGCAGUUAACACAAUAAGUAUUCCGCCUGGGGAGUACGGCCGCAAGGUUGAAACUCAAAUGAAUUGGCGGGG